CCUACGGGAGGCAGCAGUGAGGAAUAUUGGUCAAUGGCCGGAAGGCUGAACCAGCCAUGCCGCGUGAAGGUCAGUGCCCUAUGGGCGUUAAACUUCUUUUGUGCGGGAGCAAUAAUGGUCACGUGUGGCCAGACGAGAGUACCGUACGAAUAAGCAUCGGCUAACUCCGUGCCAGCAGCCGCGGUAAUACGGGGGAUGCAAGCGUUAUCCGGAUUGAUGGGGUUUAAAGGGUGCUUAGGCUGUGAGGUAAGUCAGCGGUGAAAUGCCCCCGCUCAACGGGGUGAAGUGCCAUUGAUACUGCCUGGCUGGAAUGCGGAUGCCGUGGGAGGAAUGUGUGGUGUAGCGGUGAAAUGCAUAGAUAUCACACAGAACACCGAUUGCGAAGGCAUCUCACGAAUCCGCGAUUGACGCUGAUGCACGAAAGCGUGGGUAUCAAACAGGAUUAGAUACCCUUGUAGUC
This 460-nucleotide ribosomal RNA is filed under the name uncultured bacterium. RNAcentral's name for it is "partial 16S ribosomal RNA". It matches the Rfam family "Bacterial small subunit ribosomal RNA", at positions 338 to 795 of the family's 1533-position model. The record is from RNAcentral.